GAAGGAUUAGUUAACAACAUAACAUCAGAAUGUCAAACUGAAGUAAUCAAAUAGAUAUCCUUCU
RNAcentral lists this transfer RNA (64 nucleotides) under Anaorotermes echinocolon. Its description in RNAcentral is "tRNA-Asp". Lineage: Eukaryota; Metazoa; Arthropoda; Insecta; Blattodea; Termitidae. RNAcentral also lists the same sequence under 3 other names. The record is from RNAcentral.